GACGAACGCUGGCGGCGUGCUUAACACAUGCAAGUCGAACGGAAAGGCCCUGCUUUUGUGGGGGGCUCGAGUGGCGAACGGGUGAGUAACACGGGAGUAACCUGCCCUUGACUUUGGGAUAACUUCAGGAAACUGGGGCUAAUACCGGAUAGGAGCUCCUGCUGCAUGGUGGGGGUUGGAAAGUUUCGGCGGUGGGGGAUGGACUCGCGGCUUAUCAGCGUGUUGGUGGGGUAGUGGCUUACCAAGGCUUUGACGGGUAGCCGGCCUGAGAGGGUGACCGGCCACAUUGGGACUGAGAUACGGCCCAGACUCCUACGGGAGGCAGCAGUGGGGAAUAUUGCACAAUGGGCGGAAGCCUGAUGCAGCAACGCCGCGUGCGGGAUGACGGCCUUCGGGUUGUAAACCGCUUUCGCCUGUGACGAAGCGUGAGUGACGGUAAUGGGUAAAGAAGCACCGGCUAACUACGUG
This 468-nucleotide ribosomal RNA is filed under the name uncultured bacterium. RNAcentral's name for it is "partial 16S ribosomal RNA". It matches the Rfam family "Bacterial small subunit ribosomal RNA", at positions 28 to 507 of the family's 1533-position model. The record is from RNAcentral.